ACUCGAGUGGCGAACGGGUGAGUAACACGUGGGUGAUCUGCCCUGCACUUCGGGAUAAGCCUGGGAAACUGGGUCUAAUACCGGAUAGGAGCCAUUUUUAGUGUGAUGGUUGGAAGGUUUUUUCGGUGUAGGAUGAGCUCGCGGCCUAUCAGCUUGUUGGUGGGGUGAUGGCCUACCAAGGCGACGACGGGUAGCCGGCCUGAGAGGGUGAUCGGCCACAUUGGGACUGAGAUACGGCCCAG
This 242-nucleotide ribosomal RNA is filed under the name uncultured Actinomycetales bacterium. Its description in RNAcentral is "partial 16S ribosomal RNA". It matches the Rfam family "Bacterial small subunit ribosomal RNA", at positions 89 to 334 of the family's 1533-position model. Lineage: Bacteria; Bacillati; Actinomycetota; Actinomycetes; Actinomycetales. The record is from RNAcentral.